Non-coding RNA from Callithrix jacchus (white-tufted-ear marmoset), 402 nucleotides. NCBI's taxonomy places the organism in Eukaryota, Metazoa, Chordata, Mammalia, Primates, Cebidae. The record is from RefSeq and is a predicted model, not a curated record.
GACAUGGAUGAAUCUAGAAACCAUCAUUCUCAGCAAACUGACGCAAGAACAGAAAACCAAACAUCGAGUGUUUUCACUCAUAAGCAGGUGACGAACAAUGAGAACACUUGGGCACAGGGAAGAGGACAACACUCACUGUGGGCCUGAACCAGGAUCACCAAGAAAGAAGGAAGAUCUCUUCCUACUGUGACACUCCACCAACAAGUAAGAGCCCAGAACUCUUCUCUGAAUCCAGCCGUUUGCCAGACAUCUAAAGGGGCAGACCCCUUACUACUAACACCUGCUUUUCUUAAAACAAUCAACAAUCAAGUACAUUUAAUGGGUUUCCCCUUUAUUAUAAAGUAAUGGAUAUCUACUUUGAAAUUUUUAACACAACACAUCAGUAAAAAUAUAGAAAAGUAA